GAGUUUGAUCCUGGCUCAGAACGAACGCUGGCGGCAGGCCUAACACAUGCAAGUCGAGCGAGACCUUCGGGUCUAGCGGCGGACGGGUUAGUAACGCGUGGGAAUAUACCCUUCACUACGGAAUAGCCUCGGGAAACUGGGAGUAAUACCGUAUACGCCCUUUGGGGGAAAGAUUUAUCGGUGAAGGAUCGGCCCGCGUUGGAUUAGGUAGUUGGUGGGGUAAUGGCCUACCAAGCCGACGAUCCAUAGCUGGUUUGAGAGGAUGAUCAGCCACACUGGGACUGAGACACGGCCCAGACUCCUACGGGAGGCAGCAGUGGGGAAUCUUAGACAAUGGGGGAAACCCUGAUCUAGCCAUGCCGCGUGAUCGAUGAAGGCCUUAGGGUUGUAAAGAUCUUUCAGCUGGGAAGAUAAUGACGGUACCAGCAGAAGA
RNAcentral lists this ribosomal RNA (433 nucleotides) under uncultured Paracoccus sp. Its description in RNAcentral is "bacterial SSU rRNA". It matches the Rfam family "Bacterial small subunit ribosomal RNA", at positions 9 to 488 of the family's 1533-position model. The record is from RNAcentral. Lineage: Bacteria; Pseudomonadati; Pseudomonadota; Alphaproteobacteria; Rhodobacterales; Paracoccaceae.